This 562-nucleotide long non-coding RNA is filed under the name Homo sapiens (human). Its description in RNAcentral is "non-protein coding lnc-ZNF300-2:1". Lineage: Eukaryota; Metazoa; Chordata; Mammalia; Primates; Hominidae. The record is from RNAcentral.
CAUUUACAAACACGUUUAAUUGGAAUCGCCAACGAAAAUAUUGUACCAUUCUAAAUUCUUCGCCUUUCAACAUAAGCAUCCUUAAAUGGAGGACAGUAGCACUCCAACUUCUUCUCCAAUCCUGUGAAAUCUGUCUGCAAAAGUGUGGACCUUACUGCUCGUGUAGUAGGCCUCCUUGCCGUCGUCUUCCCCUCCCUUCGCAGUCACUGUGGUACAGUCCACAUUCCGGCUCAGCGCCUGGCGAGUCCUCCGCUUGUACUGAGACGCCUGGGAUCUCAAAAUGGCGGCCCCGUGCGGAAACAGCGUCUGGGAGCAGUCAUGUUGCCUCCUGAACAAAGCCGCUGAAGAUGAAGAAUGGGCAAAAUCGCCCCAUACGGAACAGCGCAGCCUCGGGAGCCCGUUACCUGGCUCGCGAACACGAAGCGGGAGAGUUCGCCAAUAUGGAUGUGACAGCGGUUCCCAUUAAGCGGUGAUAGGAUUUUUGGGACCUGAUAAUCAAGCUAGGGGUCACAGACUACUCUCAAGUUGAAAACCUUCAGAAGUUUUCUCAAACCACUUGUCC